RNAcentral lists this long non-coding RNA (442 nucleotides) under Homo sapiens (human). RNAcentral's name for it is "HSALNT0349204". Lineage: Eukaryota; Metazoa; Chordata; Mammalia; Primates; Hominidae. The record is from RNAcentral.
CGGGUGGGCGUGGGCUUGGCGGGCCCCGCACUGGGAGCAGCCGACCGGCCCUGCCGGCCCGGGAAAUGAGGGGCUUAGCACCUGGGCCAGCGGCUGCGGAGGGUGUACUGGGUCCCCCAGCAGUGCCAGCCCACCGGCGCUGCGCUCGAUUUCUCACAGGGCCUUAGCUGCCUUCCCGCGGGGCAGGGCUCGGGACCUGCAGCCCGCCAUGCCUGAGCCUCCCACCCACUCCAUGGGCUCCUGUGCGGCCCGAGCCUCCCUGAUGAGCGCCACCCCCUGCUCCACGGCGCCCAGUCCCAUCGACCACCCAAGAGCUGAGGAGUGCGGGCGCCCGGCGCCGGACUGCAGCCUGCCAUAUUGCUGAAGGUUUGUGAGACACAGCCUAGAAGUUUGUUAUCAAUCCUCAUUGGUUGAGGCUCCUCCUGCUGUAGUUGAAGACUGU